GAUGCCCAGACAGCCACAUUUCACAAGCACCUUGUUAAAAAGCCAGGAGGCUUUAUUUACUCGACUUCAGACGCCUUACCCAUUUUUUUUUUUUUUUAUGGGGUUUUACAUGACCUUAUUAAAACGCAAUUUUAUGGUCUUCAUUGGAGGCGACACGAAAAGCAGGAACGCAGAAGCUGCCGUCUGCCACUGCUCACACCCAGAAACUCGCAUGCAGACUCACCGACUUCACUUCAAAGAAAAGUUUCCAAAUCAGGAUUCAGGUUUCAAGUUAGUCUUUUUGAUGACGAUUUUAAGGCCAGCGUGACAGUUUGAAACCGUUUCAAACAAGGGUUGUCCUCAAAAGGAGGGAUAAAUUGUCAAUCGAGAGUUUUAAAUUAGGGUUACAGUAAUAAUUGUUUAUUUUAUGAGAGGAAUAUUGUAUUAGAGAAGACGUUGUCUGUUACAUUAUUGUUUUUAGAUUUGGGUUUCAAGGCUGGGUUAUGAUUUCCAUGGAGGGUUAGGGUUUCAAAUUAAGGUUUCAAAGCAGUGAUGGGGCUUCAAAUCAGUUCCCGUAGGAAAUUGACUACGGGUAUGUAUUUCCUCAACUAAUAGGCGUGGCCCAAUUCGUCGCUGAGUAGACUUUUGAAAAUAUGGUUUCAAGACGGAAUUCAAGUUUCAACUCAGCGUUGGGUUUCAAGUUGAGUGCCUCCUCCUCUCAAAUGGGCUUCCUUUUCUGCUGGAAAAAAAAAACAAACAAAUUGCCAAGCAGACAAUUUGCCGCGGCCGGUUGAUGACAGCCAAUCAAACGCAUCCGUCAGCUGGCCCGCAUAAACACAAACUUGCUCGAUUUCAUCAGAACCUCAAAGCCAACUUUGAGUCGGACUUCUAACGAUGUCAUCAUCCGGCACUUGAUGGACUGACGGCCAGCCGCUGCCGCCGUCGUCGUCCAUCAAGCGGAAAGUUAACUGAUGAUCAGCGGCCCCGUUGGAGCGUUUUGCUGCAAUCAUCCAUCUUCCCGUCGCUAAUGGAGCCGCGCACGCAACUUGGAAGAACAAACAACGAGAGGAAACGCUGUUGCCGAGUAAAUAAGGGGCAGUGUUAAGAUGCUGUUGACAGUUUAGGUUCGGAAGAGAAUGGCCGAAGAAUCGUGAGCGACAGCGAGCCCGGCGUGACACUGAACGCCGCUCUGCUGGAAGCAUCCAUUCUCAUCACAUCACUGCCUCCAUCUGCACCAAAACAAACAAGGAGACUCGCAAACGCCGACGGAAUGACAAGCAGGCCAAAGCGCACGAGCUGGAAUCAAACCCACAGCCCCGCUUGGAAACGGGAGCGCUCCGUGCUCUGCCGCGGGUGAUUGACAAUCACGCGAUGGCAUCAUAAGGUUUGCUGCGGGAAAUGGUCCAAUUGUAAUAAUUUGCUCCGAAAAUUAUUUGCCGAGGGGUGUGUCAGAAAAGUGCCGGGACUGGCGUUGUUUUUCAAGAUACGAGCAGUCA
This is a long non-coding RNA of Hippocampus comes (tiger tail seahorse), 1475 nucleotides long. RefSeq lists it as uncharacterized. The record is from RefSeq and is a predicted model, not a curated record. The transcript is spliced from 4 exons. NCBI's taxonomy places the organism in Eukaryota, Metazoa, Chordata, Actinopteri, Syngnathiformes, Syngnathidae.